AAGCGAAUAGUGAAAUCUGGCGGCUCAACCGUACAGGCUAUUAUUCGAACUCACUAACUCGAGAGUGGUAGAGGUUACUGGAAUUUCUAGUGUAGGAGUGAAAUCCGUAGAUAUAAGAAGGAACACCAAUGGCGUAGGCAGGUGACUGGACCAUUUCUGACGCUAAGGCACGAAAGCGUGGGGAGCGAACCGGAUUAGAUACCCGGGUAGUCCACGCCGUAAACGAUGGAUACUG
RNAcentral lists this ribosomal RNA (235 nucleotides) under uncultured Candidatus Saccharibacteria bacterium. RNAcentral describes it as "partial 16S ribosomal RNA". It matches the Rfam family "Bacterial small subunit ribosomal RNA", at positions 585 to 818 of the family's 1533-position model. The record is from RNAcentral. Lineage: Bacteria; Candidatus Saccharimonadota.